RNAcentral lists this ribosomal RNA (449 nucleotides) under uncultured bacterium. Its description in RNAcentral is "bacterial SSU rRNA". It matches the Rfam family "Bacterial small subunit ribosomal RNA", at positions 329 to 792 of the family's 1533-position model. The record is from RNAcentral.
ACCCAGACUCCUACGGGAGGCAGCAGUGGGGAAUAUUGGACAAUGGAGGGAACCCUGAUCCAGCGACGCCGCGUGAGUGAAGAAGUAUUUCGGUAUGUAAAGCUCUAUCAGCAGGGAAGAAAGAAAUGACGGUACCUGACUAAGAAGCCCCGGCUAACUACGUGCCAGCAGCCGCGGUAAUACGUAGGGGGCAAGCGUUAUCCGGAUUUACUGGGUGUAAAGGGAGCGUAGACGGCGAUGCAAGUCUGAAGUGAAAGGCGGGGGCCCAACCCCGGGAGUGCAUUGGAAACUGCCAGGCUGGAGUGUCGGAGGGGUAAGCGGAAUUCCUAGUGUAGCGGUGAAAUGCGUAGAUAUUAGGAGGAACACCAGUGGCGAAGGCGGCUUACUGGACGACUACUGACGCUGAGGCUCGAAAGCGUGGGGAGCAAACAGGAUUAGAUACCCGAGUA